Molecule: long non-coding RNA, 447 nt
Organism: Hyla sarda
Lineage: Eukaryota; Metazoa; Chordata; Amphibia; Anura; Hylidae
Exons: 3
Source: RefSeq, a predicted model, not a curated record
CAACAGCUGAAGGCACCCUGGUCAUAAAGGUCUCAGUCAUGCGAGGUCCCGGUCAUAGAAGGUCCCAGGCGCCACCACGAGACGUCACAAAAAGUCUCUAAAGCUGUCGUCUAUUCAGAGGUCAGGACCCCUGAAGAUCUACAGACCCCAAUACUGAGCGAUCACACAUCACUGUGUAUAGAGUAAGAGCGUGUUAUCCUACACCAGUGUUUCCAAAAUAGGGUGCCUCCAGCUGUUGCAAAACGACAACUCCCUGCAGGGCCGAAACGCCUCACCUUUGCUCAUGUUUAUCGUGUACCUGUAUUUUUAUAUGCAAUAAAGUAUCCUGUUCCUGACCUACCUGCGCUGGACAACCUCUUCUUGUUUGCACUAUAUUAUGAACUACACUAACUUUACAGCCCCUGUAGCAUAGUCAAAUAAUUCCUGGAAUACCCCUUUAAUUUGUGA